This is a long non-coding RNA of Megalobrama amblycephala (Wuchang bream), 564 nucleotides long. RefSeq lists it as uncharacterized. The transcript has 3 exons. NCBI's taxonomy places the organism in Eukaryota, Metazoa, Chordata, Actinopteri, Cypriniformes, Xenocyprididae. The record is from RefSeq and is a predicted model, not a curated record.
AGUUUUCUGGAGUAUUUGACUUACCAAGCUGAAUCUCUAGCAGAGAAGACGAAGAGCAGGGCCAACAGGCCAAAAGUAACCUUUACCACAAACAUUGUGUCGAAAGACCUAUGGAAAGAACCAUGGCACAGCUGUUUAGGCAGAAUGCCUCAAAUGAAGGGUCACUGGGCAAAAGCAGAGAAACACCCUGGACAGGUGACCAGUCCAUCACAGGGCUCACAUUAUAAUAUGUCAUAGCAAAAGUUUUACUUUGGCUUUUAAACUUGAUUAAACAGGACAUGCAAACACUGUAUGUAAAAAAAGUAACAGCAUAACACUGAUAUGCAACAUAACUUCUCAUUAAUUCUUUGUGUUACUGUAAUACUUUAGACCCACAAGGAAGAUGCAAUGUGAAUAUCUGAUAAAAUGGAACACAACACAUUUUUAAUCUAAAUUAUAAUCACAUACAUGUAUGAUCAUUAUAAACCUGUGCCGUUUCUCAUCUGAUGCUCAAACAAUGUGACAAUUUGGUGAAAUAUAAAAGACUUUGUGUAGAGAGGGUAACCAUACCAGUUCUCUUACCUU